AAGAAGAUGGUCUAGUUGCUUCUAGCUCAAGGAACGCUGAGGAAGAUGGUGUCUCGAGAGAUC
RNAcentral lists this small RNA (63 nucleotides) under Arabidopsis thaliana (thale cress). RNAcentral's name for it is "ATSL189690". The record is from RNAcentral. Lineage: Eukaryota; Viridiplantae; Streptophyta; Magnoliopsida; Brassicales; Brassicaceae.